GGUCCAGACUCCUACGGGAGGCAGCAGUGGGGAAUAUUGCACAAUGGGGGGAACCCUGAUGCAGCGAAGCCGCGUGGGUGAAGGAGCACCUCGGUGCGUAAAGCCCUAUCGGCAGGGAAGAAACAGACGGGACCUGACUAAGAAGCCCCGGCUAACUACGUGCCAGCAGCCGCGGUAAUACGUAGGGGGCAAGCGUUAUCCGGAGUCACUGGGUGUAAAGGGAGCGUAGACGGCGACGCAAGUCUGGAGUGAAAGACCGGGGCCCAACCCCGGGACUGCUCUGGAAACUGCGGCGCUGGAGUACGGGAGGGGCAGGCGGAAUUCCUGGUGUAGCGGUGAAAUGCGUAGAUAUCAGGCGGAACACCGGCGGCGAAGGCGGCCUGCUGGACCGCGACUGACGUUGAGGCUCGAAAGCGUGGGGAGCGAACAGGAUUAGAUACCCGAGUA
Molecule: ribosomal RNA, 447 nt
Filed under: uncultured bacterium
Lineage: Bacteria
Description: bacterial SSU rRNA
Rfam family: Bacterial small subunit ribosomal RNA
Source: RNAcentral